This 69-nucleotide transfer RNA is filed under the name Cynops ensicauda (sword-tailed newt). RNAcentral describes it as "tRNA-Val". It matches the Rfam family "tRNA". Rfam says of the family: Transfer RNA (tRNA) molecules are approximately 80 nucleotides in length. Their secondary structure includes four short double-helical elements and three loops (D, anti-codon, and T loops). Lineage: Eukaryota; Metazoa; Chordata; Amphibia; Caudata; Salamandridae. The record is from RNAcentral.
CAAUUUAUAGCUUAACUAAAGCAUCUUGCUUACACCAAGAAAACACCCGUUAAACCCGGAUUAAAUUGA